RNAcentral lists this long non-coding RNA (810 nucleotides) under Homo sapiens (human). RNAcentral describes it as "non-protein coding lnc-MIGA1-3:1". The record is from RNAcentral. Lineage: Eukaryota; Metazoa; Chordata; Mammalia; Primates; Hominidae.
AACCGUCCAACCUGGCCCUAGCAGAGGAAAGGCGUCCUCGUAGCUCCGCCAUUGGAAAUCGGCUUCAUCCUGCCCUUUGUGGCCUCCUGAGAGAUUUGUAAACCCCACCUCCCUUAGCACUGUGGUCUCAAGCCAGGAGAACAUCCAUACAUGUAUUUAUGAUCGUGCUUCUGCCUCGCCUCGUUCACCUCUGGCUUGUACCACAGCACGCAGGCUCGAACCACUUCGGGCCUUUGUGCUUGCCGAUUUCUCUGGCAGAACAUUUCCUCCAGAUUUUUUUUAACUCCUCGAUGUUCGAUGCAUAUUUCAGGUCCCUUCUCAGAGGGCUGCCCAGACCACUGUAUCCAAAAAAAGUACACCUGCACCAUUGCUUUAACUCUUCACCUGCUUUUAUUUCUUCAUAACAGUUACAACUUCCAGACCUUAUUUGUCAGUAUCCUCACCACCAGAAAUGUAAAAUUUUUAAAAGCAGGGACUUAGUAAACUGUUUUGCUCAUUGCUGUAUCCCCAGAAUUGUGUCUGGCACAAAGCAGUGCUCAGUAAUAUCAAAACAGAUCUACCAACUAUAUUGAGCAUGUAGGAAAAUAAAGCCCAACACACAUUAAUGAAGAUAAAUAACUUCAUCAUUUAUGAGCUGUGGAAAAACAGCUAAACCUCCUUCCGUGGCUAUAAAGAUUAUGUUCCAAAAAUAUAAAAUCCAGUGGUAGAAGCCGUUAACUGGGGCUCUUCUUUGACAAUUGUCCAGUGCUGUUUCAUUACUUUUGUUUUCCUUUGCAACACUAUUUUUUUUUUCGGGCAAGUGGAUACGUG